RNAcentral lists this long non-coding RNA (1084 nucleotides) under Mus spicilegus (steppe mouse). RNAcentral describes it as "lncRNA (ENSMSIG00000019570.1)". Lineage: Eukaryota; Metazoa; Chordata; Mammalia; Rodentia; Muridae. The record is from RNAcentral.
AAACCUUUACUGCUGGGGACACCACCGAAGGCUAAGGGUAGAGAUGGCUAAGGGGCCAUUGUUGUCAAGCUGUCAUCUGCCUGUUCGAAAUCCACAAAUGUGGCUUGACAGUCCCAUGACCUUGAGUACCCUACCACAGACCCUCAGCUUGACCCCAAGUCCAGGAGGGCUUUAGGCCCAGGGGACAGAGAGGGAGCAGAAACUUGAAGCCUUGGAGACCCUGCUCUUCAGCAAAGUGGAGGGGCCAGUCCUAUCUUUAGGUCUGAUUUUCUAUUUUAAAGAUAAAUUUAUUUUUAAAAUAUGUGUAUGUGAGUGUUGGUAUGUGGUGUGGGUGCCUUCAGAGGCCAGAGCUGCAGUUACAGGUGGCUGUGAGCCACCAGACAUGGAUGUUAGGGACUGAAUUUGAGUCUUCUGCAAAGGCAGCAAGCAGGCUCAACCACUGAGCCAUAUCCCCAGCCUGAGAUCUGCCUUUUGAUACUGUCCAAUCGGACUUCCUCCUUCCGGCCCUCUGGCCCUUGACCCUGUGUGCACCUAUCAGGUCUAUUUUUGAUUAAGUGCCCAGUUCCAUCCUGGUCACUCCUGUGUUCUCUCCUUCCUAGGUCAAAGGACAAUCCCUUUCCCAAAGCUUUGGCCAGUGACCUCCAGCCCCCAUCAAUAUUACCUUGCUAACUUCACACAGCAAAGCCUCAGGCCAGUCGUGCAAGGCAGCCAUGCCCCUGCCGCAUACUCAUCUUCCUGUCCCCUCGGCCCACCCUACCUGUGCCAUCAGUUUCAGACGCUCCUGCAUGUGUGCACACCCAUGGAGACACCAGAAGAUACCCAUCCUGUCACAAUGUGAGCUCUGCAGGUCUGAGGUUGCUUUCAAAUCCAGUUGCUACGGCUGCGCCAUCCAGCUGUCCCAGCUGCCUCAUGAUGGGAGUUACCCCUCCGACAUUGAGUGACUUAUAUGCUAUGUCAACACAGUACCUGGGAGAACACAGAAACACCAGCAACGCCACUUUAAUUACUCUUCUCAGAUGAGGUAAUGAUCGCUAAUGUGUAUCGGGUCCCAUUAAUUAACUCUCUGACUUUAAUUAACUUCUUG